CAAUUACAAGGGAUAUUAAUCAGUCUCCGUGGACUAUACACUGUGCCUAGUUUCAUCCUCAGAGACUGAUGUGUAAGCUUAAAUUAAAGACAUCAAAUCAAAGUAUCAGCCAUCAAGAGGAAGAACAUUCAAAAUCAUAUUGUGAUACACAAGUCAAGCAAGUCUAUGACCAGCAUUAUGAUACAGGCCAAGAAAAAGCUGGACAUUUGAUUGGAAGGGUAGCACAAAAAAGAUGGGUUAUCACUAGGGAAACAAGCUCGGAAUACAGUUCACUGUUGGGACAGCAAGACAAAUACUUAUAAACUUAUUUGGAUCAUUUUUGCUGUUUAUUAUAAUUCAUCCAAUUGUCUUAUUAAAUAUAUAUAUUUAUA
Physella acuta is the source of this 371-nucleotide long non-coding RNA. RefSeq lists it as uncharacterized. Lineage: Eukaryota; Metazoa; Mollusca; Gastropoda; Physidae. The record is from RefSeq and is a predicted model, not a curated record.